RNAcentral lists this long non-coding RNA (336 nucleotides) under Phascolarctos cinereus (koala). RNAcentral describes it as "lncRNA (ENSPCIG00000023480.2)". Lineage: Eukaryota; Metazoa; Chordata; Mammalia; Diprotodontia; Phascolarctidae. The record is from RNAcentral.
GGUGUACAGGCUUCAUUGGGUUUGUGACAGCUACAUCAAGGUACUGGCCCACAACACACAGGGCUUACUGGACAGAAUGCAGACGAGAGCCCAACAGUCUCUGCUUGCAAUUGCAUUGGAGCUGACUUCCACAAGAUGGAAUUUCCAUUCUCGGGUUUCCAUUUGAGAUUUACCUUCAUAGCAGAGACAAGCAAAUAUAUUCUCCUUUUGUGCCAACAGCAUAAAUCUACAGAAAAUUAAAUUCUUGGGAAGAAUAACACUGACCUUCAAUAACUCUGCUAACCAAAUUCUUGAGCUGUGGUGGGAGUCAUCUGUGGUAACUCGGUCUGAAUAAUG